Molecule: ribosomal RNA, 418 nt
Filed under: uncultured Desulfobulbus sp.
Lineage: Bacteria; Pseudomonadati; Thermodesulfobacteriota; Desulfobulbia; Desulfobulbales; Desulfobulbaceae
Description: bacterial SSU rRNA
Rfam family: Bacterial small subunit ribosomal RNA
Source: RNAcentral
UUACCUGGUCUUGACAUCCCGGAGACCCUUAGGAAACUAGGGGGUGCUUCCAGUCUGGAAGAAUCUGGAGACAGGUGCUGCAUGGCUGUCGUCAGCUCGUGUCGUGAGAUGUUGGGUUAAGUCCCGCAACGAGCGCAACCCUUGCCUUUAGUUGCCAGCAGUUCGGCUGGGCACUCUAAAGGGACUGCCGGUGUUAAACCGGAGGAAGGUGGGGAUGACGUCAAGUCCUCAUGGCCUUUAUGACCAGGGCUACACACGUACUACAAUGGCCGAUACAAAGGGCAGCGACACUGCGAGGUGAAGCCAAUCCCGUAAAAUCGGUCUCAGUCCGGAUUGGAGUCUGCAACUCGACUCCAUGAAGUUGGAAUCGCUAGUAAUCGUGGAUCAGCAUGCCACGGUGAAUACGUUCCCGGGCCUU